GAUGAAGAACGUAGCGAAAUGCGAUAUGUAAUGUGAAUUGCAGAGUUCAGUGAAUCAUCGAAUCUUUGAACGCACAUUGCGCCCGUCAGUAUUCUGACGGGCAUGCCUGUCCGAGCGUCAUUUCAACCCUCAAGCACUGCUUGGCGUUGGCGGAUUGCGUGCCCUCGCGGCGCUGCAACCGCCCAAAUACAGUGGCGGUCCCGCUGCGGCUCCCUUUGCGUAGUAACUCACCUCGCACUGGACCGGGCGGCGGCCUGCCGUAAAACCCCAACUCACGAAAUGUUGACCUCGGAUCAGGUAGGAAUACCCGCUGAACUUAAGCAUAUCAAUAAGCGGAGGA
Molecule: unclassified non-coding RNA, 340 nt
Filed under: soil metagenome
Description: partial contains 5.8S ribosomal RNA, internal transcribed spacer 2, and large subunit ribosomal RNA
Rfam family: 5.8S ribosomal RNA (bases 1-120)
Source: RNAcentral